GAUGAACGCUGGCGGCGUGCCUAAUACAUGCAAGUCGAGCGAACGGACGAGAAGCUUGCUUCUCUGAUGUUAGCGGCGGACGGGGGAGUAACACGUGGAUAACCUACCUAUAAGACUGGGAUAACUUCGGGAAACCGUAGCUAAUACCGGAUAAUAUUUUGAACCGCAUGGUUCAAAAGUGAAAGACGGUCUUGCUGUCACUUAUAGAUGGAUCCGCGCUGCAUUAGCUAGUUGGUAAGGUAACGGCUUACCAAGGCAACGAUGCAUAGCCGACCUGAGAGGGUGAUCGGCCACACUGGAACUGAGACACGGUCCAGACUCCUACGGGAGGCAGCAGUAGGGAAUCUUCCGCAAUGGGCGAAAGCCUGACGGAGCAACGCCGCGUGAGUGAUGAAGGUCUUCGGAUCGUAAACCUCUGUUAUUAGGGAAGAACAUAUGUGUAAGUAACUGUGAACAUCUUGACGGUACCUAAUCAGAAAGCCACGGCUAACUACGUG
This 497-nucleotide ribosomal RNA is filed under the name uncultured bacterium. RNAcentral describes it as "partial 16S ribosomal RNA". It matches the Rfam family "Bacterial small subunit ribosomal RNA", at positions 28 to 507 of the family's 1533-position model. The record is from RNAcentral.